CAUCAGGUGAAGAUGUGCGUGAUUUCACCAAGGUGCUGAAAAAUAACUUCAGAUCAAAGAAAUACUUUGCCAAACAUCCUCGCUUGGGUUAUUUACCACUACAAACAGUCCUAGAAGACGAGGAAAUAUUAGUGAUGCAAUGAAGAGUUUGAUGAUAAAAUAUAAUUACUGUUACGGUUUCCUCUUGGACGAAAUAUUCUCAUCAAAUUGACUGGUCAAGGAAAUGGGACACUGACUGUGAGUACUUUGAGUGUUUAAGUGAUUCCUAAAAUGAAAAUUAUGACCUUGAUUUCUCUUGCAUGCAGAUAUGAAGAGACUAUUUUAAAAAUCCUCUCGGUUCGUGGUUCAGGCAUAAAGGUGUCACAUGUAUAUUUAUGUAUAUACAUGUACAUGUGUAAUCUGAAAAGAAAAUGACGAUAAAUCACUUGUUACAAGUUCCUCAAGCUUUAGCAUAAACUGGUGGAGACUUUCGGCGCUUGCAAAAAGGCUCACCUCUCUGUUAAUACUGAAGGAAAAUUGGAGUUUAAAAGUAAGUUCACCCGGUGUCAGGGAAUGAAAUGUUAAUGUUGACUUGAAUAUAAUUUUUAAAAAAGUAAUAUAUUUGUGUAGCACUAAACUCAAAUUAAAAUUUGGAUAUGCCAGUUGACUCCUGUUUGACACUGGAUGGAAUGGCGGUGACAUCAGAUUCAGUGAUGAUUGAGAAUCUAAAGAAUAUGAGGAUAAGAUUUAAAAUCCAAAUAUCAUUGAACUCUUCAAGAAAUGUAUUACUGGAAAAGGGGGAAAGCAUGUAUGUCUAUUAGAAUUGAAUACACUCUGAAGGCGGUGGCACAGAUGAAACAGACCUGUGUGCUAAAACUUAUCACAAAUUUCACAUUGAAUGGAACAGUUUAAACAGGCUGGAGGAAGCAGACAUGCCAGCGCAAACUUUUGAAUUUGUGCAUUCUGUUCAUAAACAUCAGCAAAAUUGUGGGAACCUGUUUAUUCUUUCUCUUUUAUUGCACAGAACCAUACGAUUACACUAAUUUUGAUGAGGAAUUUAAAGAUUAUGAGCCCCGUCCGUUUGACCCGCAGUUUGGCACCAUAGGUUGGCACGAUCUUCGUUCGAGAAGGAAGAGGGAUGUUCCAGACACAGAAAAUCGUCAAACCAUUUACUACAAAGUCUGUUUCUGCUUAGUAUUAAUUAAUGCAGUUAACAUUUUCAGAUCGACAUGAUUGCAGAAUGGAGUCAAUAAAACAAAUUCCAUCUGAUAUUCAACAUAAAUUUUAAGUUUAGAAUAACAAGCUCACAAGAGCUUGGUUUUAGAUAUCACUUGGGACCACAGACUAACAGACAAAGGAACAAAGCAAAACGACUCUGCGAUUUGAUGUAGAAACUCCUGACUCCGAAGCCUGCAGCCGCCCUCCAAUUCUCAAGUCAGAAGUGUGCCAAUGAUGGUGCAGAUCCAACAACACUGGAAACGAUCUUGAGUCUAGACCAAAGCAGCCCCUUGAUUGGCACCGUAUCCAUUCUCUCCACAACCAACUCCAAGACACAAUAAUGUGUCCAUAUACAAGAUGCACUGCCACAUUUUUUUCCAACUAUUCUUACACCCGCCUUUCCAGACUUAGAAAACUCAUCUUCAAGGUCAAGGACAUCAGACAUGGUAGCACUAAUCCCAGUAAAAAUCACCUCCAAGCUACUCUCAAACUUAUUUGGAAAUGAAUGAUUGUUCCUGAGUCAAUAUUAGUAAUCUCUUUUGGAACAGCAUUGUGGGUCUGUGUACAGCAACAUGAAGCUGUUCAAGAAGUCAAUUUGUGCUGGACAAUCAGCAACAGCUAUGUCUCAUUAAAGAAUAAAUAAAUCGGAAAGAAAUCCAUCUGAGAGUCACAAGCAAAUGGGUAACUUUUUUUUGUUCACUCUGCAGCUCGUGGGCUAUUACCAAUUUUGACAAUGACAAAUGAAGCUUUUGUUUGGUUUGCUAUUGAUAGCAGCUGUCCACAAAAUAAAAACAAUUGGCAUCAGAGAUAAUGGGAACUGCAGAUGCUGGAGAAUCCAAGAUUACAAAGUGUGGAGCUGGAUGAACACAGCAGGCCAAGCAGUAUCUCAGGAGCACAAAAGCUGACGUUUCGGGCCUCGACCCUUCAUCAGAAAAGAGGGAGGAGGAGAGGGCUCUGAAAGAAAUAGGGAGAGGGGAAGGCAGAUUGAAGAUGGAUAGAGGGGAAGAUAGGUGCAGAGGAGACAGACAAGCAAUAAGGAAGGAGAGGAUCAAAUAUCAAGGUAGGCUAGCUAGUCAUAUCAGAAAUCAUAGUAACGGCUUCUUUCAAUACAUAAGAAACAAACGUGAGGCAAAAGUAGACACUGGGCCACUCCAAAUUGAUGCUGGAAGGCAAGUGGUGGGAGAUAAGGAAGUAGCUGAAGAACUUAAUAAGUACUUUGCGUCAGUCUUCACAGUGGAAGACAUGAGUAAUAUGCCAACAAUUAGGGAGAGCCAGGGGGCAGAGCUGAGGAUGGUAGGAAUUACAAAAGAGCAAGUGCUAAAAGGUCUAAAAAUUGAUAAAUCUCCUGGCCCCAAUGGGCUAUAUCCUAGAGUUCUGAACAAGGUGGCUGAGGAAAUAGCAGAGGCUUUGGCUAUGAUCUUUCAAAAGUCAGUGUAGUUUUUUUUUGAGUGCGAGCAGCAGCGGAGGCAAGACGGACCCGGAAGACUGCAGCUAAGGUAAAGCAGUUUAUUUUGAAAAUUACUUACCGAUAGCGGGCAGCGGUGUUUUUCCUCUUUCAGAGAAGGAGCGGGAGCAGCAGAGGAAGUGACGAGGACCAGAGGGGCAGCCGGGAAGGAAAGCAGUGAGUAUAAAUACUCACCCUUCGACGCCAACGGCCAUUAUGAGUGCGAGCAGCAGCAGAGGCAAGAUGGACCCGGAAGACUGCAGCUAAGGUAAAAAGCAUUGGAGAUGCUGUUAAUUUUUUGCACGGCGAGCUGCAGAAUAUUAACCAGUCUCACACCAUUGCCAUCACCUUGCCCUUGCAGAUGCGGAUAAAGUUCUCCAAGCUGACAGAAAUUGAAAGCACUCGCAUCCUGUGACGAUGGGGUAGGAGUGGAAGAAUCAGAGUGUUUCUUUGAAAAUUGGCUUGAUGUGUCUGUCCAAGGGUCAUCUGGAGGAAAAAAUACAAGUAUAUCUUCAAACAAGUAGCUGAACCCACAGAUUUAUGUGACCAACGAAGCCUGAGCCUUUUGCUUCACGAUGCAGUCCAGAUCCCUCGGCAGCUGGGUGAGGUAGCUUCAUUUGGAGGCAGCACCAUUGAACCAAGUGUCCGCAGUUGCUUCCAACAUGCACUCAGACAUGAACUAAUGGAUAAGGAGGAGACAAUCAUAACUGCUUUGGAUUCAGCCCAUAGAAGGGCCAGAGGAGCCGCGCUGACACCUUCAUGUUUAAACAGAGGACACUUUUCUGCGUGCCACGAGAUGUAUAUCAGCCAUACCAAAAUGCUGCCUUUGCCUGAGACAGGGAAGAUCAACUGACUUUGGGGAAAUGGAGAAUCAUUCAUGAAUCCAGUUACUUUCUGAUCUGACAGCUUUGUGGCAUCUGAAUGGAUAACAAUUUGAUCUGGUAAUCUCAAUUGAUAGAGUGCAAAUGUGUAGUGAUGCAUUUUGGGAGCUCUGGUAAGUGAAAGAUGUUCACAAUGACUAGUAGAUCCCUAGAGAGCACUGAGAAACAAAGGGACCUUGAUGUCCAAAAGCAAGAGUUCAUGCCCUCUGCUUCUGGCCUUUCAGGCAAAGUUGGAUCCAACACUCCACUGAGUCUUAGAUCCCAUGAGCUCUUGUUUUGUUGACCAGUCUGCUAUCACUGACCUUAUCAAAAACAUAUAGACCACAUCAGAUGAAUUUCCCUCUUCAACACUUCUGAUAUCUCCUCAAUAAAAAUUAGAUAAAAUUUGCAAACCAUGGCAUUACCUCAACAAAGCCAUGCUGACUAUCCCCGAACAUUCCAUGUUUCUCCAAGUGCAGCGACAUUUUGUCCCUUAAAAUUCUUUCUGAUAACUUCCCUACCACCAAGGUUAGACUGGCUUGUAACUUCUGGAUCUGUCCUUUCUUCUUUUAUAUAAAAGUAUGAGCGGUCCUCUGGCACCUUAGCUGUGGCCAGAAAUGACUUGAAAAAUCUUUGCCAGGACCUUUUGAUAUCUCCUCCCCUGCUUCAUAAAGUCAUGCAGUAUAGAAACAGGCUCACUUGAUCAACAUCAAUGCCAACUAACAAACAUCAAACUACUGAUCCCAUUUACCUGCACUGAGUCAUUACCUGCCAUACCCUGGCCCUUUAAAUGCUCAUCUGUUGCUUCUUUAAUAUUGCAAGCGUAUCUGCCUUCUCCACCUUGUCAAGCAGCAUAUUACAUGUUUGUAUCACUUUUGGUGAAAACACUUGCCUCAGAUCCCCUCUAAAUAGCUGACAGUUUACCUGAAAUCUAUGCCCCCUGACUUAAACUCGUCUACUGGUUCUCACAAUCAAUCUAUGCCUCUCAUAAUUUUGUAUACGUCGAUCAGAUUUCCCCUCAGCCUCCUCUGCUGCAUGGAAAACGCAAUUAGCCUACCAGU
Molecule: long non-coding RNA, 4562 nt
Organism: Stegostoma tigrinum
Lineage: Eukaryota; Metazoa; Chordata; Chondrichthyes; Orectolobiformes; Stegostomatidae
Exons: 8
Source: RefSeq, a predicted model, not a curated record